CCUANGGGGGGCUGCAGUGGGGAAUAUUGGACAAUGGGCGCAAGCCUGAUCCAGCCAUGCCGCGUGGGUGAAGAAGGCCCUAGGGUUGUAAACCCCUUUCAGCGGGGAAGAUAAUGACGGUACCCGCAGAAGAAGCCCCGGCUAACUCCGUGCCAGCAGCCGCGGUAAUACGGAGGGGGCUAGCGUUGUUCGGAAUUACUGGGCGUAAAGCGCGCGUAGGCGGAUUUGCAAGUCGGGGGUGAAAGCCCGAGGCUCAACCUCGGAACUGCCUUCGAUACUGCAAAUCUCGAGUCCGGGAGAGGUGAGUGGAAUUCCUAGUGUAGAGGUGAAAUUCGUAGAUAUUAGGAAGAACACCAGUGGCGAAGGCGGCUCACUGGCCCGGUACUGACGCUGAGGCGCGAAAGCGUGGGGAGCAAACAGGAUUAGAUACCCCANUANUC
RNAcentral lists this ribosomal RNA (440 nucleotides) under uncultured bacterium. Its description in RNAcentral is "bacterial SSU rRNA". It matches the Rfam family "Bacterial small subunit ribosomal RNA", at positions 338 to 795 of the family's 1533-position model. The record is from RNAcentral.